CCGGUGGCGGCCGCGGCCGCCAGGGGGCGCGCAGCUCCCGCCGCCCACCCAGAGCUGCCCCGCGCGCCGCGGCUCUGAGGGGCUCCGGGGGCUCCGCGCUCCCGCCGCAGCAGCGGGCACUUCCAGUGCAAUGUCCAGCAAGUAAUUCUCGAUAAGGGUUAAUUCUCACCCCACCACCCCCCCCCUCCAAUUUUUUUCUUUAGUUUUCUAAGGUAUUUUAACCCUUUCCCUACGCCCUCGGCGCGUAGCGGGGAGCAGUGCCCCGUGUGCCAUGCCCUGUUCCUCGGUGGCCCCGAGCUCCCCCCGCCGCUGCCGGCGGGAUCUGCACGGUCGCUGCCGCUCGGGCCGGCGCACAGGGGACGGGUGGCGGCGAGAGGGAGCGGAACGGGCGGGCCCCCGGUGCCGCCGCAGCGCUGGACGGGGGCCGUGGGAGCCGGGCGGUAAUUGCCUGCUUGACGUCCGCGAGAUGCGAAGCGUGGCUGAAAAGCAAGCCUGGAGUGCCCUUCAGGAGGUCAACCUGAAACCAGGAGCAAACGAAUGCAAGGCUGGUUUGCCACUUGGAGAGGCCAGACAAGAGAAAAGUGAGUUUGAGUUAAGAGGCUCUUAGCACCCAGAGCAGCCUUGAAUGAUGAAGACAAUUACAAAAGCAGGGUUCAUUCAUGCAGGUGUAAUUGCUGUGUGCUUAAAUUAGUUUUGAAGGUGGAACUUCAGCUUCUAGGUCUUGUCAGAAAUUUUCUAAAGAACCUACCUCUCUGAGCUACUGCCAGUUUCCUAUUGUGUGCAUGUACAAAAAUCUCAUUUUCAAUCUUGAUAAGCUCUUGGCUUUAAUAAUGUCUCAAGACUGCAGGUUUCCUAGCUUAUUUAUCAUGCACUGAAUAAAAAAAUUCCUUUUGUUGUUGGUAAAUUCACUCCCUUUUAGUUUCCUUGAAUAGCAGCUUGCUUUGUAUUGUCUGAGGAGAUAAAGGGGAAUACCCCACUUAACCUCUCAACAUCAUUCUCUGCUUCCUUUUCAAGUAAUUUUCGUAUGCCUGUAAUACUACAUAACUUGUAUAAAUGCU
RNAcentral lists this long non-coding RNA (1058 nucleotides) under Ficedula albicollis (Collared flycatcher). Its description in RNAcentral is "lncRNA (ENSFALG00000023026.1)". Lineage: Eukaryota; Metazoa; Chordata; Aves; Passeriformes; Muscicapidae. The record is from RNAcentral.